GGAGAAGCGAAGGAGGAGCCACCUGCGCGCCGAGCCCGUUCGCCCGGCCGCCCGCAGCCAGGCGCGGUGGCCAACUCCGCCCCGGGCCGCGGGCGCAGCCGACGGGAACACGCCCCCUCAACUUUUUUAUUUUUAAACAAUCUCAAACCCUCAGAAAAAUUGCAAAUUUGAAGCCUCUUUCCUGAAAUCUGCAAAUUUAGAGAGAGACAUUACACAAUGAGGAAUGGCAUCCUGAUCUUACCCUGUUUGAAAGGAAACCAAUGGAUAGAUUGAAUACUUCUUUUCCCACUAACAUUUAUCAUUGAUAACCAUUCCCUUCUUCUCAAAAGUUGUUCCCUGGCUCCCAAAAUAUCCAUUCUCUCCUCACUCUUUGCUUACUACUUGGGCUCCUUCAUGGUUAUCUUCCACCAACUCCUUAAAUGUGGCAGUUUCUAAUGUCACAGAUGCUUCCUUUCUCCCUAAGGGGAGAAGUUAAUCCCCAGCCGGUCUAUUCAAUAAAAUCCUUAAUUAUUA
Homo sapiens (human) is the source of this 513-nucleotide long non-coding RNA. The record is from Ensembl. Lineage: Eukaryota; Metazoa; Chordata; Mammalia; Primates; Hominidae.